This 86-nucleotide transfer RNA is filed under the name Desulfovibrio sp. OH1186_COT-070. RNAcentral describes it as "tRNA-Leu". It matches the Rfam family "tRNA". From Rfam's summary of the family: Transfer RNA (tRNA) molecules are approximately 80 nucleotides in length. Their secondary structure includes four short double-helical elements and three loops (D, anti-codon, and T loops). Further hydrogen bonds mediate the characteristic L-shaped molecular structure. tRNAs have two regions of fundamental functional importance: the anti-codon, which is responsible for specific mRNA codon recognition, and the 3' end, to which the tRNAs corresponding amino acid is attached (by aminoacyl-tRNA synthetases). tRNAs cope with the degeneracy of the genetic code in two manners: having more than one tRNA (with a specific anti-codon) for a particular amino acid; and 'wobble' base-pairing, i.e. permitting non-standard base-pairing at the 3rd anti-codon position. RNAcentral also lists the same sequence under 1 other name. The record is from RNAcentral. Lineage: Bacteria; Pseudomonadati; Thermodesulfobacteriota; Desulfovibrionia; Desulfovibrionales; Desulfovibrionaceae.
GCCCGGAUGGUGGAACAGGCAGACACAAAGGACUUAAAAUCCUUCGCCUCUUUGGCAUGCGGGUUCAAGUCCCGCUCCGGGUACCA